Microbulbifer donghaiensis is the source of this 99-nucleotide non-coding RNA. The record is from Rfam. Lineage: Bacteria; Pseudomonadati; Pseudomonadota; Gammaproteobacteria; Cellvibrionales; Microbulbiferaceae.
CACUACUUGUCGGAGUGCCUGCGGGCUGAGAUCGCUGUUGCGAGAUCCGUUGAACCUGAUCGGGGUAACCCCCGCGUAGGGAACAAGAUCUGAAGUCGC